GAGGGCAAGGUUGUGUUCCAGACAUGGGAGUGGUCAUUGUAGUCAUAUUGCUGUUUAUCAAGGAUAAGGAUGAGGCUGUUAAUAUAAUCUCUCUUUUGUAGCUGUAUCUCAUAGGUUAGAAGAGCUGUCUCAGUCCAAGAAGGCUCAUACAGAUGUCAGAAAACCAAGAUCCACUCCUGAAUGGUCUGUGGCAGUCUCAGCUAUGAGAGCAACGGCAUCUCCUAGAUUGAAGGAACUGGCACAGCCCCGACCUUACCCAGCUGGUUGGAAGUUCCAUCGCUCCCCUUAUUCUGUGGUGACUAAAGCAGCACUGUCAGCUUUACCUUCUGAACGGAUUACUGUUCUUGCUAAGCCAAGAGUAAGAACAGAUGCAAACACGGUGCACACAAAAUAAUUCAAGGAGCUGUUGUUGGAUUUCAGAAGUUUUGUGAACACUUGAAGCCCUGGACCUACAUCUCUGAUUAUGGCAAUUCUUGCUGAGUUUCGAAGGCUGAUGUCAUCUAUGCUCGCAGUCCACACAUUCUUGAAAUUAGCCAUGCAGUUGUUUGAGUUAUAUGGUCAUUGCACAUCCUUGACUUUGGCCAGUUUAGGGACGUGAUUAAAGGAUCCUGCACACAUCAUAUGGCUGUGGCUGUGAUGUUUCAUAAGUUUGAAAUACCUCCCAAUUAGUCUACCAUUUGCUUGCAUGAACCUUUGGUCAUCCAAAGACAUAGGUUUUAUCACAGCUUUGAGGUGCUCCUCUGUCUUGCAAGAAAGCAUGUGUUAACUUUGAUUUAAUCAAGAUACAUCGAGGCAAGUCUGAGUUCCAACACCAGCUGUGAUCCUAAUUUAUGAAUGGUGUAGCGAUCACCCUGCUUUGGGUCAGGUAGAAGAUUAUUUGCAUGUACCAAUGAGAGCAGUUGGGAGGCGGAGCCAGAGAAACUAGAAGGGAGGGGUGAGUGAGAGUCUAGUCAAUUCAGUCAGAGACAGAGUUUGGGGGUUUGAGGCAGAGAGAGUGUUUAAGGAGUGAUUAGUCAGAGUGUGACCUGUAUUAAUUAAGAUAGAAGAGGUUAAAGUAAAAUACUGAAGCUUUGUGUAACUUUAGGAAUGUGCUUAAGAACUAUUCCUAAAAUAACUUGUAAUCAAUAAACCUGUUUCUGUUUAAAAGUUCA
Molecule: long non-coding RNA, 1151 nt
Filed under: Pogona vitticeps (central bearded dragon)
Lineage: Eukaryota; Metazoa; Chordata; Lepidosauria; Squamata; Agamidae
Description: lncRNA (ENSPVIG00000021269.1)
Source: RNAcentral